Molecule: ribosomal RNA, 497 nt
Filed under: uncultured bacterium
Lineage: Bacteria
Description: partial 16S ribosomal RNA
Rfam family: Bacterial small subunit ribosomal RNA
Source: RNAcentral
GAUGAACGCUGGCGGCGUGCCUAAUACAUGCAAGUCGAGCGAACAGAUAAGGAGCUUGCUCCUUUGACGUUAGCGGCGGACGGGUGAGUAACACGUGGAUAACCUACCUAUAAGACUGGGAUAACUUCGGGAAACCGGAGCUAAUACCGGAUAACAUAUUGAACCGCAUGGUUCUAUAGUGAAAGGCGGCUUUGCUGUCACUUAUAGAUGGAUCCGCGCCGUAUUAGCUAGUUGGUAAGGUAACGGCUUACCAAGGCAACGAUACGUAGCCGACCUGAGAGGGUGAGCGGCCACACUGGAACUGAGACACGGUCCAGCCUCCUACGGGAGGCAGCAGUAGGGAUUCUUCCGCAAGGGGCGAAAGCCUGACGGAGCAACGCCGCGUGAGUGAUGAAGGUUUUCGGAUCUAAAAACUCUUUUACGGGGAAAGAACAAAUGUGUAAGUAACUGUGCACGUCUUGACGUUACCUGAUAAGAAGGCCACGGCUAACUACGUC